Molecule: ribosomal RNA, 265 nt
Filed under: uncultured archaeon
Lineage: Archaea
Description: partial 16S ribosomal RNA
Rfam family: Archaeal small subunit ribosomal RNA
Source: RNAcentral
ACACGACUACAUUAGAUACCCCCGUAGUCCUAGCCGUAAACGAUACUCGCUAGGUGUCGGCCACGGUGCGACCGUUGUCGGUGCCGUAGGGAAGCCGUGAAGCGAGCCACCUGGGAAGUACGGCCGCAAGGCUGAGACUUAAAGGAAUUGGCGGGGGAGCACAACAACGGGUGGAGCUUGCGGUUUAAUUGGAUUCAACGCCGGAAAUCUUACCGGGACCGACAGCAACAUGAAGGCCAAGCUGAAGACUUUGCCGGAUUAGCUG